UACGGGGGGGGCAAGCGUUGUUCGGAAUUACUGGGCGUAAAGGGCUCGUAGGCGGCCAACUAAGUCAUACGUGAAAUCCCUCGGCUUAACCGGGGAACUGCGUCUGAUACUGGAUGGCUUGAGUUCGGGAGAGGGAUGCGGAAUUCCAGGUGUAGCGGUGAAAUGCGUAGAUAUCGAGAGGAACACCUGCGGCGAAGGCGGGUUGCUGGGCUGAUACUGACGCUGAGGCGCGAAAGCCAGGGGAGCGAACAGG
This 253-nucleotide ribosomal RNA is filed under the name uncultured bacterium. RNAcentral describes it as "partial 16S ribosomal RNA". It matches the Rfam family "Bacterial small subunit ribosomal RNA", at positions 524 to 776 of the family's 1533-position model. The record is from RNAcentral.